AAACGCCGUAUACGAGACCCGUACGUACGGUGUUGUGAGAGGGGCGAAAAUAAGUAAACUUAUUUUCCCUCUACUCGAU
This 79-nucleotide small RNA is filed under the name Bacillus sp. V-88. Lineage: Bacteria; Bacillati; Bacillota; Bacilli; Caryophanales; Bacillaceae. The record is from RNAcentral.